This 73-nucleotide transfer RNA is filed under the name Candidatus Magnetovum chiemense. RNAcentral describes it as "Candidatus Magnetoovum chiemensis tRNA". It matches the Rfam family "tRNA". From Rfam's summary of the family: Transfer RNA (tRNA) molecules are approximately 80 nucleotides in length. Their secondary structure includes four short double-helical elements and three loops (D, anti-codon, and T loops). Further hydrogen bonds mediate the characteristic L-shaped molecular structure. tRNAs have two regions of fundamental functional importance: the anti-codon, which is responsible for specific mRNA codon recognition, and the 3' end, to which the tRNAs corresponding amino acid is attached (by aminoacyl-tRNA synthetases). tRNAs cope with the degeneracy of the genetic code in two manners: having more than one tRNA (with a specific anti-codon) for a particular amino acid; and 'wobble' base-pairing, i.e. permitting non-standard base-pairing at the 3rd anti-codon position. Lineage: Bacteria; Pseudomonadati; Nitrospirota; Nitrospiria; Nitrospirales; Nitrospiraceae. The record is from Rfam by way of RNAcentral.
GCCACCGUAGCUCAGUCGGUAGAGCAGCUGAUUUGUAAUCAGCUGGUCGGGGGUUCGAGUCCCUUCGGUGGCU